CUAGACAAGUCUUUACACUAUACGAUUUAUUGAGGGGGUCCCCAUAACAACCCCGAACGUGUUAGGAGCGCUCAGUUAUGGAAUAAAACACCGGUAUCCGAAGCUAAGGCGGCAACAACGGAACAAAUCACCCGGCAAAAGGCCAGGGCUUCCGUUAUUUACCAAAUGAAUAUGAUGAUAUCAAAUUGCCCAUGUUAUNNNNNNNAGGAAAUAAGAUAAGGAGGGGGACCCACCUGGCAAUGACCAGGGCCCCCUCACAAGAUGACAUGUGGGCCCCUGUGGCCCACUGUCAUCCACACACACACAAUACACACUACCUGCAACUACACAGCACACACACUGAAAGGAAUAUGCUCACGAAAAAUAGGUGCAAGGGGGAUCGAACCCCUGACCUCAACUACACACACACGCACUGACCAGUAGGCUAGCACACGCUAGUUGAUCUAACAAAGGCACCAGACAUGGUAAGCUAGUACUUGCAACUAAAUAUAACACCCAAAAAACAACCAAAAAACAAAAGCUGUGUAGGGGGGACUCGAACCAAUGACCUCAGGAUCACUACGCUCGCG
This 569-nucleotide long non-coding RNA is filed under the name Hordeum vulgare. RNAcentral's name for it is "long non-coding RNA (HVUL_LNC000971)". Lineage: Eukaryota; Viridiplantae; Streptophyta; Magnoliopsida; Poales; Poaceae. The record is from RNAcentral.